Long non-coding RNA from Spodoptera frugiperda (fall armyworm), 468 nucleotides. RefSeq lists it as uncharacterized. Lineage: Eukaryota; Metazoa; Arthropoda; Insecta; Lepidoptera; Noctuidae. The transcript is spliced from 4 exons. The record is from RefSeq and is a predicted model, not a curated record.
AGGCGUCAAUUCACCCGCACCUCUUUCCUACUCCAGUAGACAAAACUCGCUCAAUCAAAACCGUCGCGGGUAAUUUUAACGAUCCUAAUUUAAAUCCAUAACUAAAUUUAUUGGUGUUGUCUCUUAAACACGGAUUUAUUCAUAGACGCGUUUUUAUAGGUGUGACUGUGCUUAUUGUUCCGAAGACUUGCAAAACGAAGGAAAGGCGAAAGCAGUUUAACCCCUCGAUCAUAUUUCGGUACACCUUAUUCAGAGGCCCUGUGUCGCUCCAGUGAAUUUGUCCAUCUUAUAUUCAUCGUCAUUGGUUUUCUUCGACGUUCCUUCUUUAGAGUUGCUGUAUGGUUCCUGUAAACUUCACUUCUUACUCUCACGGUUUUCUUCUUAUACACUUAGGGUCACCAGGUGUAGCAGAUGUACCAGGUGUAUUGUGGAUUACAGUUUCAUCAUUUUGUGAAUAUAAACGGCAAG